UCUCACACCCCGCAAGCCACGCACGACUCCCAUCCUCAUCCCCCACCCCGUUCGUCAAACUCCUGGUCUAGGCCAAGCAACCGUCGACGCCCCAUCCCCCACUGAGUUCGCCAUUCCCAUGCCUGCCCCUGUACCCCCUCCCCCUCCGCCCGAUCGAUCUCCUCCACCAAUACGCUGGAAUCGAUAUCAGCGACGCCGUCGAUGAUAGUGGCGGCAGGCCAGCCAGGAAGCCCAAGGGCGGCGAUGCGGCCGUCGCCAAGCGAUCCAUCAAGGGGAAGGAUGACGGGAUGACUCCAAGCGAUGGCCAACAGAUGAAGGACCGCGUGCAGUCUAGGGCCUCACCACUAAAAUUGCGGUGGUCGCUCGAAAAGGAAGAGGAUUCGGCGCACAGAGGAAGAGGACGGUUGCAAGUUGGAGAGUAAGAGGCCAACUAGGUGGAUACUCUUCGCACUCCUCGGUACAAACUACAGAGCCCUCCACGAAACAGUCCUCUUCUACUGUGCCCAGCAGCGAUCAACGAUAAUCUGGAGGGCGCACAAGUACCUUGAGUCCCAGAUCAUCCCCACGGGUAUAUUGAUUUCUUCCUAUUGCAAUUCAUGAGUUCUAACCACGAACGUACAGGCUAACCAGUUUCGCUUCAGCCUGUCCGUAACUAAUUUACUAAUUCAGGUUGGUCGAGCUUUUGCAGUCUUAGUUCAGAAAGAGGUCAUGAGAAUAAAAAUCGCCACAUACAAGGCUUUGAAAAGAACUGCCCGGCGUUCUUAGCAACAAUGCAUGGAAUCCAAUGCUUCUAACAAAAUGUCCAGAAAAAAUUGCAUAUGGAGACAAUGUCACACAUCGAGAAAGAAUCAGUACGGGCAAACAUGAUGGUUUGGUUGACAAAAUGUUGUUUCUUUUUCCCCGCCGGUGAAGCAGUUAAGCAGGUCUUGCCAAGAGGAUUAACAACGUUGAUUCUGCAAGUGCUUGGAUAUAACGGUGUAUCAGUUCUCUACUUUUUACGUGUUUGUUUAUUUUCUUUGUGAGACCUUAGCAUGCACUAGCUUAGUCAAAAGCCCCGCAGAAUAAUAUAUGCUCUUUCUUUCAGUGCAGAUCCAACAACGCCUUUUUACUAGAUUUUAUGUUAUGUAACUUUGUAUGUUCUAGCAGAGAGGCACCCAAAGGAGAGAAGUAGAAGUCAAGUGAGAACAUAAUACUGAUGUGAGUUUUCUAAACCAUAAGUGCAUAUGCCCAGUGGACAUGUAUACAUAUCUUCCAUAAUACGCUGAGAUUUUGCAAAGAUUCCAUGUGGAAAAGCUCUACAGUUAAUUGGUGAUGCUUGACAUGCAUGUUCAGUAUAUAGAAUAACAAAAUGGAGUGAUUUGUCACCCUCCCUAUUGUAGAUCGAUAGUAUAUUACUGCUAAGGGUUAGUAGUGGAUGACAAUAUCAUAAACAAAGCGCUCCUGAUGAUUAUCAAAGGCUUGGCUUAAACAUGUUAACCCAGCUUUCGCGUGCGGCGACCUCGCUUCUGGCCUGUCCCGGCGACUCCCCCAUCCUGAAGGUCUUGGCUGUCGGUGGGUGGGAUCGCUAGACGCCGCGUUGAGUGUGUAUAACAGUAGCUAGGGUAGCUAGGUUGCUAGGUUUUCGGCCGUGUAUCUCAUCUGUGCCGGUGGGGGUGAUAGCGGCAGAGAACAAGAGGCCUUCAGAGUACCUUCUGAAGUGGUGGUUUCCCUUGUUGUCGGCGCUGGUUAUGGUUGGCGAGCUAUGUAACGUCCAGGUGCUAGAUCCGGGCGAGCGCAUGUUUGGUCUGUAUGGUGGCAUCAAGGCAACGGCGGCCGCUGCUAUGGACCUUUGUCCCCCUCCCUCUGCUCCCUCUUUGUUGGUGUCCACUCCGACGCCAUCAAGGUGGGCGAGGGGAUGUGUACAGGAGCCUCUUAGUGGGUGUUACUUAGCUCCGUGGUAGCGACACUGGUGCUUCGAGUUGGUUGGCUAUACAGAGACAAGUUUCGAGACUUGAAGGUGGUAGAUCUGGUGGUUUCCCUCGACGGUGUCGAUGGGGGUGGCCAGAUCUGGGGCCAGAGCUACACAGGGAUGAUCCCCAGUCGAUGUGGACACAUCGAUAGGAGCUUCACCGGCGGCAGAGCGCUCCAUCGACUCACAAAUCUGAUCGACGUCGAUGGUGUGCCUUUGGUUCUUGGUGUGCAGACGGCACAUCAUCUUCUCUCCCGCGGGCGCGAAGACAGUGUUGGGACGGACCUUCAUGGUCUUGGUGGAGUUUGGGGACCCCAGGGGCUUGUAACUUCCUUUUUUGGGUGCCUUUUUUUGUGUCUGGACAAUUGUUCUGUCUUGAAGCUUUGUGCGGUGUCUGCAUGUGUGCGCUUUGUAUCACUCUUUAAAUAUACUCCAUAUUAUAACACAAUGCGAUCUUUCUCAAAAAACAAAAUCCAUAUUCAGGUUUCUUGGAGUUGUUAUGGAAAUACUAAACUAUCUGUUUUUUUCCUUAUAUAUCCAUUCUUUAAUUUUUUAUCUGUUGAAUUUGAUAAAUGGUGCACGUGAUCUGAGAUGUUUCAUCGGAUGGGGAUGAUGAUGCUGUCAGCAAGAGUAGAAAGCAACAUAAUCUGCACUGCCGACCUGUUGCACUUGUUAUUCAGUAUUCUGAUUGUUAUUUCAGUGUAGAAAUUUUCUUGGCAUAAGUAAACAUUGAAAGUUGCACAACAGAUUUCCUGUAGGAAAUAGUAUAUUGCAUGGAUAAGCACAUUCAAAUAUCUUGUGAGCUAAAGAAUCUUGUAAGUCCCAAAAUUCAACAAGGAUUCUCACUGCGGUACGAGAAAAUUUAGUUUCCCAUUAUAGUGUACACUAUUUUAGGUUGAAUCGAAUCCAACCAAAACUUAUCCUUCUUACUGAAAGUAUAAGUUAGUGCAAUUGGACAGAACAUUGUAGCAAGGAAGACAUGCUCAGCUGCAUAUUGAAUGAUAUUGCCGGAGAGGGCGAGAUGUUUGUUGCGACACCCAGCGAUGCCAUAUGCAUGUCACGCUCAACAUUCGUCUUUUGUGUCAAUUACAAACUAAAAUAUAGUUAAACUGCACUUCUGACAAAAACUUUGAGAGCAUAUACCCUUAUUGUUACUUCAUUUUAGUAGAAGUGCAGUUUCGUAUGUUAGAUGUUGUUGCAAGUAUACAAGUUGCACUAAUUGUUACUUUAUUUUGUGAACGGCCGGUAAUCAGUGAGCUCUAAAGUCCUCUGGUAUUGUUCACCCUCAUAGUACUUCCCUCUAAAGUCCUCUGGUAUUGUUCACCCGCACCUGUUAGAUGUCAACCUCAUGCAUGGAUUUUUGUGUAAAUUGUAGCUGUAUAUUAUUUGUGUGAUUUCUAUUUGGGAAUUUCUACAUUUAUCUUUGGAUGGCCGCAAAGCAUAUUGAUUCUGACCUUUUUUUCUUGUGAUUGAUGCCUCGGUCUAAGGCCGCUGAGGCAAUCAGCCCUCAAGAAAGCUUUGUCAACAUCUGGAAAGGGAAAGAAGGCCACGAGCGGUAAAAUAGGUCUAUAGUCACCUGUGUAGAUUGGGCUGUCAGAUCCUGAUGAUGAACAGUGUGUUUGAGAUAUGUAUGCUAAUGUCCGGAAUAUUUCAAAAGUCAGUCCGAACCCCAAGAGCCAUCUUCAAUUUGAACUAAAACGAGAAAGUUUUUUGUUUGCUAGAUCUCAUGAAAAUCAACACUGGAGUAAGCAUUGACAGUACCUCAAUAUAUCGUUAGGUUUUCUUACGCAAUAUUCAGCAUAUGUGUAUUGAUUCAGUUAGCGUCAUGGGGAAUGCUUCGGUUUUUUGAAGUUAAUUGCAACUGGUAUUUUUGUGCUGA
Molecule: long non-coding RNA, 3827 nt
Organism: Lolium perenne
Lineage: Eukaryota; Viridiplantae; Streptophyta; Magnoliopsida; Poales; Poaceae
Source: RefSeq, a predicted model, not a curated record